UCGGCGACGGUCUUUCCACGGUCAAAGUCAAAACGGUCUUCAGAGCCGUUACCACUCGGACGCUCGCGGCUUGCAUAUAGAUAUAUAUAUUUCUCCCCCACUGUCACUCUCUUAUUCCGCACAUUCUCCCAGAGUUCUCCAUCAACGGCCUCUUACCUCUUGAGUGUUCGUUUGAUCAUUACCAGGCAAUCGGAGGAAGAGAGAGCAGAAUCGAAAGAAGUAUCUGGCCGCAUCUCGGUGAUGAAAAACAGAGAAGAAGAGGACGGCGAACUCUGUACGUCAUUGAGAUUGGCUAUAUGACAACAGAGAGGGGAAGAACGCAGCAGUUGCUCUUGAUGAAGUGAUUGCUUGGGCAAAAUUAAAGCAAUUGGUCCUGUCAUUGUGGCCGGUGGGAUUUUCGCAUCUGCUAGGAUGACUGGUCAUAAUCACGUACGAUAUGAGAGACUGAUUUGUGCCCAAUGCAGAAUGAUAGCAAUCAAUUUGUUGAUAUCGAAGGACGAUCCGGUUCAUGUAAAGUUUGUAGAAAACAGUUAGGGGUGCAUAAAAUAUAACCACACAAUCCACAGAGAUGGAAAUGGAGGACGUAGACGAAGACAAUAAAGUUGAGGUCAUUCUACAAGGAAUCCAACUCUGGUUGCUACUUUCAAUGCCUCCAUCAUGUAAGUAAUUUUCUACUUGACAUCAUGAACUACCAUACGUGUGACUGCAAUGUUAUGGUCCUAAUAAGGUUAGAUUACUACGUUUAAUCUU
This is a long non-coding RNA of Cucurbita maxima (winter squash), 750 nucleotides long. RefSeq lists it as uncharacterized. The record is from RefSeq and is a predicted model, not a curated record. The transcript has 5 exons. Lineage: Eukaryota; Viridiplantae; Streptophyta; Magnoliopsida; Cucurbitales; Cucurbitaceae.